Molecule: small nuclear RNA, 20 nt
Filed under: Arabidopsis thaliana (thale cress)
Lineage: Eukaryota; Viridiplantae; Streptophyta; Magnoliopsida; Brassicales; Brassicaceae
Description: snRNA_16102
Source: RNAcentral
UGAUAGCGCUUAAGCGCGAA